RNAcentral lists this ribosomal RNA (301 nucleotides) under uncultured bacterium. RNAcentral describes it as "partial 16S ribosomal RNA". It matches the Rfam family "Bacterial small subunit ribosomal RNA", at positions 509 to 807 of the family's 1533-position model. The record is from RNAcentral.
CAGUCGCCGCGGGAAUACGGAGGGGGCUAGCGUUGUUCGGAAUUACUGGGCGUAAAGCGCACGUAGGCGGCUUGGUAAGUUAGAGGUGAAAGCCCGGAGCUCAACUCCGGAAUUGCCUUUAAGACUGCCGAGCUAGUAGGUGAGAGAGGUAAGUGGAAUUCCGAGUGUAGAGGUGAAAUUCGUAGAUAUUCGGAAGAACACCAGUGGCGAAGGCGGCUUACUGGCCCAUUCUAGACGCUGAGGUGCGAAAGCGUGGGGAGCAAACAGGAUUAGAUACCCGUGUAGUCCCUGUCUCUUAUAC